UACGUAGGGGGCUAGCGUUGUCCGGAAUCAUUGGGCGUAAAGAGCGUGUAGGCGGCCCGGUAAGUCCGCUGUAAAAGUCAAAGGCUCAACCUUUGAAUGUCAGUGGAUACUGCCGGGCUAGAGUCCGGAAGAGGCGAGUGGAACUCCUGGUGUAGCGGUGGAAUGCGCAGAUAUCAGGAGGAACACCGGUGGCGAAGGCGGGGUCUCUGGGCCGUAACUGACGCUGGAGGAGCGAAAGCGUGGGGAGCGAACAGG
RNAcentral lists this ribosomal RNA (255 nucleotides) under uncultured bacterium. Its description in RNAcentral is "partial 16S ribosomal RNA". It matches the Rfam family "Bacterial small subunit ribosomal RNA", at positions 524 to 776 of the family's 1533-position model. The record is from RNAcentral.